CAGAACGCAAGACAACCCUCCCUCGUUUUCUUCCUCACUGCUUUCGCGAGACACCUAAAGCCUUUAAACCCUAUUGUCCAAGAGUUCUUCUUUCAUCCAUUAUACUAUUUCUCUAUCUUGGAAAGUUCAGUUCAAUUCUUCUGCAUAUUUUUGUGCAUGGCGGAAUCGAGUGAGAGGGAAAGAAACACCUUGGUCGUGAGAAAGCCCUGUUAUGGCCUCCCAACUGGAUGUCCUCAGUGCUUGUCUGCUUACAUCUAUCUCAAGCUGGCUCAAGUUCCCUUUGACGUGGACUUCCACUUGAACUACCCUGAUUCUGAUAAAAUCCCUUACUUUGAGGCUGGUGAUUAUGUGGCAUAUAAUAAUGAGAAGGGUGGGCUCAUUGAGUGCUUGAAAAAAGAUGUUGUUGAUAUAGAUGAUGGGCUUUCCUUGGUUGCGGACUGGAUACCAACGAAAGUGAUGCUCACCACAUGGCUUGCUGAUGCACUUGCAUAUGAACUCUGGGUAGGAGGUGACAGUUCUUCUGCUUAUAACAUUUAUUAUUCUGGUCUUCCAUGGCCUAUAGGAAAGCUUCUGUUUUGGAAGCAAACUCACCUGCUAAAGCUGCAACAUGGAGUAACUAAAGACAACGCUGAAGUAAAGGAGGAAGAGAUUUACUCGAGAGCUAAUUCUGCAUAUGAUGCGCUGUCAACAUUUUUAGGGGAGCAAAACUAUUUCUUUGAGAAUAGGCCAUCAAGCUUGGAUGCUAUUUUUCUUGCACAUGCUCUUAUCAUUUUACAAGCUUUGCCUGAAACAUCAGUGCUAAGGACCAAGCUUUUGGAACAUGCUAAUUUAGUGAGAUAUGUGCAAAAAUGUAAGACAGAACUCAUAGAUGCUAAUACAUUUCAAUCCUCCGGCCAACCUUCGCACGGUGAUGCAUCGUCAUCAGCUUCAAGAGGCCAUUCAAAUUGGAGUUCAAAGCCUAGGAACAGGAAACCAAAGAUGGAGAAAACAAAGGAAGAGAAAACCUUCAGAAGAAGGGCCAAAUUCUUCUUGGCAGCUCAGGCGGUUGCAGUUAUUCUUUUCCUCACGCACAUUUCUGGAAGAUAUGAAGCAGAAGCAGAGCUAGACGAUGACUAUGAAAGCUAUGGCAAUGAUGAAUGAAUUUUGUUCUGAUCACUUCUUUCCCUUGUUAUCAUGCAAAUUGAAAAUUUUGUUUUAUGUAGAGUUGAAGGAAUGGAGACUACAGAGGAUCUGGGGUAAUGUUAGCGUCAAAAAUCAGAAGGCGGGUUUGAGGUAGCUUUGUGAAUAUUCAAAUCCUAGGAAUUUAAAGGUCACAAGAUCAAAGCUGAUGCAGUGAGGACAGUGAUCCUUUCAUAUUUGGGACCUGAGUAAAUCAUCCUUCUUUCAGUGGGAGAGUUGGGAAAAAACUUCAUGUUGCAGCCAAAUCCACAGGGGAAGCAUCCUUGCACUUCGCAUGCCCCCACAGCUCAACAAGCUGAUCAUAAACUUUUGAAGAAUCAACAGCAAACUCAGCGAGUGAGCUCAUAGCUACUGCUAUUCCUCCACAAAUCAUCAUAAUCUCAUCUUCUCGCAUUUUCUCUGCAAUCACAACUUCUCCUUCUGCUUCUACCUCCCCAAUAUUUCCAUCUGAUUUCUUCCAUCCUCCUCCAUUCCUAAGAGAAUUUUCUCGAACCUCUUGGGCGCUCAGCGACCUCACACCAGCUGUGAAAUAAUCUAUGCCUUCAAGAACUGAAGCUUCGUGGAUCUCAUCUAACCGCCUUGACCAUUCCGCGCACAGUCCAAUUAAUGGAUGGGUCCCGCUGCAGGAUCGACGAGGAGAAGCAUCGACGGGAGCGUUGGAUCUGACGCACCAUUGUAGCCAGCCGGUAAGCGCGUGGACGUAGGAUCUCUGAGCAGCGAUCCAUGACUCGAAUCUGGCUCGCCAGUUCUUCAGUUCGGAUUCGAGGCUGGAGGUUGAGCGGGCUGGUCUGUGGGGACCGGGUGAUGAAAUUGAGAGCUGCAUUCUGGGUAGGAGGAUCAUGGCUUCCUCUAGGAUUCUCUUCUGUGUCCAAUGACACUCUGCCAUCACUUUCCACAUCCUUGCAAGGCUGUGGAAGUUGUUCAAUUGCAGAAUCAGCACGAUGUGUUAUGCAGGCUGAAUGGAAUUGGGAUUCAAGAUCCCUGAUCACUUCUGCCAUGCUUGUGGGCCUCCUAUCUACAUAGACGGGAAAACCUGGAGUUUCUUCAUCACCAUCUUGAUCAUCAAUUGCCAUAAUCUUGUGCCUAGGCUUAACAUGACCUGUAGUUAGAGCUUUUGGCGCAUCUAAAUUUCCACUGCCGCAGCCUUCUUCUGGGCAUUCCAUUUCAUCAUUAUCGUCAUUGUUGUCAUAAUCUUCUUCUACAACUGUGGCUCCCAUGGAGGAAUUUAUUCCAAAAUUUGUUCUUUCUUCUGCUAAAUAUCUCUUCCCAGUAAACUUAUCCGGUUCAGUUUCAUCCUCUUCCAAGUCAGGUAUUUCCUCUUCUCCUCUUGCCUCAUUAUUUAUAGCUACUUGGUCAAGGUUACUUCUAGUGGGGUAGCCAUGGUAGUCCAGUGAUGAAAAUGGGUUCCAGUAGAAAUCCCAUUGGGAAGCUUGAGGUGAUAGGGAAGGAAGAUUGGGUCUGUUAUUGGGAGAAUGAUAAGGAAAGAAUGAAGAAUUCAUGGCAAGAAAACCAUCAAUACCAAACCUGUUUAUUGGAGAAUAUGCUUCCACUUGAACUAUCUCAGGAGAUUGAAUCCUUUCCUGAACUGAAAUUACUGGGUUGCCACUUGCCCUUAGGUAGUUCACCUUCAUUGCCACUGAACUGGGUACAAACCCUACAGUCAUGUUGGGCAUGAAGGUUUUCUUGAAUGAAUCUAAGAACUCAUGAGGUUCAUGAUCUUCUUCAAUGUAAUCACGAAGAGCAGCUGAAACUUUUUGCAGAGAGUGGGUGUAGGCUAUGUGUCCAGAAGCAAAGCGAGUUCUUUGCUCUACAGCUUGUUUAAUGAAUUCCUUUCUUUGUUUGCAAAGCUGAACUGCUUCUUCAUCAUCUAGCCUUGAUUGAGAACAUCCCA
RNA transcript from Prosopis cineraria, 3070 nucleotides. It is a transcript of the gene named mitochondrial outer membrane import complex protein METAXIN, with no coding region annotated. The transcript has 9 exons. The record is from RefSeq and is a predicted model, not a curated record. NCBI's taxonomy places the organism in Eukaryota, Viridiplantae, Streptophyta, Magnoliopsida, Fabales, Fabaceae.